This 392-nucleotide ribosomal RNA is filed under the name uncultured soil bacterium. Its description in RNAcentral is "bacterial SSU rRNA". It matches the Rfam family "Bacterial small subunit ribosomal RNA", at positions 26 to 413 of the family's 1533-position model. The record is from RNAcentral.
AGGACGAACGCUGGCGGCGCGCUUAACACAUGCAAGUCGAGCGAGAACCAGCCCUUCGGGGCUGGGGACAGCGGCGAACGGGUGAGUAACACGUGGGUAAUCUGCCCUCGGCACCGGGAUAGCCCGGGGGAAACCCGGAUUAAUACCGGAUGGCCUCUCGAGCUCCCGAGCUCGUGAGAAAAGGUAGCUUCGGCCUCCGGCCGAGGAUGAGCCCGCGGUCGAUUAGCUUGUUGGUGAGGUAAUGGCUCACCAAGGCGACGAUCGAUAGCUGGUCUGAGAGGACGAUCAGCCACACUGGGACUGAGACACGGCCCAGACUCCUACGGGAGCAGCAGUGGGAAUCUUGCGCAAUGGGCGAAAGCCUGACGCAGCGACGCCGUGUCGGCGGGAAG